GUUAUUUGAUAAGAAAACAUUCACAGUGGUGAAGGAAGUGGAGUUCCUUGAAAGGAGAGGAGGUUGAGAUCCAUUCUAGGAGAAGAGGCUACAAAGGUGAAACAAACCAUCUGGUGCACAAGGCAGUGUGCACCAAAUAAUCUCACGGGCCUAGCCAACGGCCCUAGGCAGGAGCCGUUGGCUAGCCCCAUGAGUAGGCGGCCCCAGGGCACGACCCUUGGUGAAGGCCGUGACCCUGAGCCGUGGAAGGGCGGAGCUAGAAGGUGGGCCAUCCCAAGCCCCGCCGAGAGCUCCGCCAAGCAGAAGAUGUGCAGUGGUCGAGCCCUUUUGGCUCAGCAACGUGUUGUUUCGGACAAGGACUCGCGGGCCCUUAAGGCUCGGACACUCGGGGCUAUCAUGACGCACAAAUGGAUUUUGAUUUCAUUGAAUUUGGAGUAGAAAUGAGCUUUUUGUGUUAGAAUUUGUGAAGAUGAAUGCUACAGUUUUUGUCUGAGAGUAUUUAUAGUAAAUGAAAAUGUUAAGUGUUGGCUCUUGGCUAUUUGUUUUAGAAGCAUGACAAUUAUAUGGUUGUUAGAUACUGAAAGAUGAUCAAUA
Molecule: long non-coding RNA, 594 nt
Organism: Ipomoea nil (Japanese morning glory)
Lineage: Eukaryota; Viridiplantae; Streptophyta; Magnoliopsida; Solanales; Convolvulaceae
Exons: 3
Source: RefSeq, a predicted model, not a curated record